AUUGAACGCUGGCGGCAGGCCUAACACAUGCAAGUCGAACGGUAACAGGAAGCAGCUUGCUGCUUUGCUGACGAGUGGCGGACGGGUGAGUAAUGUCUGGGAAACUGCCUGAUGGAGGGGGAUAACUACUGGAAACGGUAUCUAAUACCGCAUAACGUCGCAAGACCAAAGAGGGGGACCUUAGGGCCUCUUGCCAUCGGAUGUGCCCAGAUGGGAUUAGCUAGUAGGUGGGGUAACGGCUCACCUAGGCGACGAUCCCUAGCUGGUCUGAGAGGAUGACCAGCCACACUGGAACUGAGACACGGUCCAGACUCCUACGGGAGGCAGCAGUGGGGAAUAUUGCACAAUGGGCGCAAGCCUGAUGCAGCCAUGCCGCGUGUAUGAAGAAGGCCUUCGGGUUGUAAAGUACUUUCAGCGGGGAGGAAGGGAGUAAAGUUAAUACCUUUGCUCAUUGACGUUACCCGCAGAAGAAGCACCGGCUAACUCCGUG
RNAcentral lists this ribosomal RNA (490 nucleotides) under uncultured bacterium. Its description in RNAcentral is "partial 16S ribosomal RNA". It matches the Rfam family "Bacterial small subunit ribosomal RNA", at positions 30 to 507 of the family's 1533-position model. The record is from RNAcentral.